Gasterosteus aculeatus aculeatus (three-spined stickleback) is the source of this 278-nucleotide long non-coding RNA. The record is from Ensembl. Lineage: Eukaryota; Metazoa; Chordata; Actinopteri; Perciformes; Gasterosteidae.
CGCUUCAGCUCCAAGAGGAGAGAAAGAUGAAUGAGUCCGGGUGCCGUGGAAUCCAGUGGCGGUGGAGUCAUAUUGUCUGUGUGUAAACACUCGAUAGAGCUUUGCAUUGUCACACCCCCUGCGUGGGCGGACUUACCGAGGCAGAUCUGGGACCAGGAAGCACUAAGCCACGGCCCUGCGGACUCUCUCUGUCCUUCCGGCUCUGACGUGGAACCAGAGGUGACGCAGGACGUCAACCUCAAAAUCGUUGAGCUCACGUCCGUGGAACCGAAGGAGAG